This 232-nucleotide ribosomal RNA is filed under the name uncultured bacterium. RNAcentral's name for it is "partial 16S ribosomal RNA". It matches the Rfam family "Bacterial small subunit ribosomal RNA", at positions 118 to 351 of the family's 1533-position model. The record is from RNAcentral.
UGAGCAACCUACCGAAAUGUGGGGAUAGCCGGCCUAACGGCCGAGUAAUACCGCAUACGCUCUCGAUGAGGCAUUUCAUUGAGAGGAAACCUACGGGACAUUUCGAGGGCUCGCGGCCUAUCAGCUAGUUGGCGAGGUAAUGGCUCACCAAGGCGACGACGGGUAGCCGGCCUGAGAGGGCGAUCGGCCACACUGGGACUGAGACACGGCCCAGACCUCCUACGGGAGGNAG